This 89-nucleotide ribosomal RNA is filed under the name Staphylococcus aureus. The record is from RNAcentral. Lineage: Bacteria; Bacillati; Bacillota; Bacilli; Caryophanales; Staphylococcaceae.
UCUGGUGGCUAUAGCAAGGAGGUCACACCUGUUUCCAUGCCGAACACAGAAGUUAAGCUCCUUAGCGUCGAUGGUAGUCGAACUUACGU